GCGGGCAUGCCGGGCGGCGGCGGCGGCGGGCCCGCGGCGGCGCUGCGCGAGCAGGAGCGGGUGUACGAGUGGUUUGGGCUGGUGCUGGGCUCGGCGCAGCGCCUGGAGUUCAUGUGCGGGCUGCUGGACCUGUGCAACCCGCUGGAGCUGCGCUUCCUCGGCUCGUGCCUGGAGGACCUGGCGCGCAAGGACUACCACUACCUGCGCGACUCCGAGGCUAAGGCCAACGGCCUCUCGGACCCCGGGCCGCUGGCGGACUUCCGAGAGCCCUCCGUGCGCUCGCGCCUCAUCGUCUACCUGGCGCUGCUGGGCUCGGAGAACCGUGAGGCCGCCGGCCGCCUGCACCGCCUCCUGCCCCAGGUGGACUCGGUGCUCAAGAGUCUGCGCGCGGCUCGGGGCGAGGGUUCGCGGGGCGGCGCGGAGGACGAGCCCGGCGAGCGCGGGGAGGACGGCGAAGGCGAGGAGGACGCAGAGAAGGACGGUUCUGGCCCGGAAGGCAGCGGCGCCGAGUCCCGGCCCGGCGGCGGGCUGGGCUUCAGGGCCCAGGAGGAACUGCUGCUGCUCUUCACCAUGGCUUCGCUGCACCCGGCGUUCUCCUUCCACCAGCGGGUCACCCUGAGGGAGCACCUGGAGAGGCUCCGCGCCGCGCUCCGCGGGGGGCCCGAGGACGCGGAGGCGGAGCCGUGCAACUUUGCCGGCCCCCGGGCCCAGGGUGACGCCGCCCCCGGUGACUUCCCGCAGAGCGAGGAGACCAGCGUGCUAGAGCAAGCCCUGACACCUCGCGACGGCCUUCCUGGGGCGCCGCACAGAGCCCAGCGAGAAGCUGUGCACAUUGAGAAGAUCAUGUUGAAAGGAGUCCAGAGAAAAAGGGCUGACAAAUAUUGGGAGUACACCUUCAAAGUAAAUUGGUCUGAUCUUUCAGUCACAACAGUAACAAAAACCCACCAAGAACUACAGGAAUUUCUACUGAAGCUCCCAAAGGAAGUGUCUUCGGAGACUUUUGAUAAGACCAUCCUAAGAGCCCUGAAUCAGGGUUCACUGAAGAGGGAAGAACGGCGACAUCCUGACCUAGAGCCCAUCCUAAGGCAGCUAUUUUCAACUUCAUCCCAAGCUUUUCUACAGAGUCAGAAAGUGCACAGCUUCUUUCAGUCCAUAUCACCAGACCCUCUGCACAGCCUCAAUAACUUCCAGUCCUCUCUGAAGACUUCAAAAAUAUUAGAACACUUAAAGGAAGACAGCUCAGAAGCUUCAAGUCAAGAAGAAGAUGUGUUACAACACACCGUAAUCCACAAGAAACACACCGGGAAGAGUCCCCUUGUGAACACCAUCGGUACAAGUUGUUCUCCGUUGGAUGGGCUCACUGUGCAGUAUUCUGAGCAGAAUGGAGUUGUGGAUUGGAGGAAGCAGAGCUGCCCCCCUCUUCAGCACCCGGAGCACUGUGUGGCCUUAGCUGACCAGCAUUCAACCGAAAAACGAAGCUUAUCUUCAAUAAAUAAGAAGAAAGGAAAGCCACAAAUAGAAAAGGAGAAAAUUAAGAAAACUGACAACAGAUUGAAUAGUAGAAUAAAUGGGAUCAGAUUGUCUGCUUCUCAGCAUGCCCACGGUGGUUCCGUGAAAGAUGUGAACUUGGAUGUUGGAUCUGGACGUGACACGUGUGGAGAGACCUCUUCAGAGAGCUACAGCUCUCCCUCGAGUCCACGGCAUGAUGGGAGAGAGAGCUUUGAAAGCGAAGAAGAGAAAGACCGAGACACAGACAGCAAUUCUGAGGAUUCUGGGAAUCCGUCAACAACCAGGUUUACGGGCUACGGUUCUGUCAACCAGACCGUCACUGUCAAGCCACCUGUUCAGAUUGCUUCAUUAGGAAGCGACAACGGAGGCCUUUUAGAAGAUGCCCUAAAUGCACCCAAGUAUCAGCAUAUUUCUUUUAUGCCAACUUUACACUGUGUCAUGCACAACGGUGCCCAGAAGUCUGACGUCGGUGUCCCUCCACCCAAGUCCGCUGACGGCAAGACCAUAGGGAUGCUUGUUCCCAGUCCUGUUGCUAUUUCUGCAAUAAGGGAGUCUGCAAACUCUACCCCUGUUGGAGUACUGGGGCCAGCAGCUUCUGCCGGAGAACCCGAGAAACACCUGGAGUUACUGGCUUCCCCUUUGCCUCUUCCGUCAGCGUUCCUCGCACACGGCAGCGCCCCUGCUCUGCACCUGACAAUUCAGAGGCUAAAGUUGCCGCCACCGCAGGGGUCCUCGGAGAGCUGCCCGGUCAACAUCCCACAGCAGCCGCCCGCAAGUCUGAGCAUCGGAUCACCAAACACUGCCUUUCUCCCUGUCCACAGCCCGGGGAGCUUUCCGGGGUCUCCCAUUGCUACCACGGACCCCAUCGCCAAGUCUGCGUCCCCGGUGGUAGGACUCAAUCAAAUGGUGCCUCAACUCGAGGGAAGCACCGGGACAGUCCCUCAGCCCAGCAAUGUGAAGGUUGUUGUCCCCGCAGCCGGCCUCUCGGCUGCACAGCCACCAGCAUCCUACACCCUGCCGGGGCCCCCCCUUGGCACCGGCGCGCUGCCCAGCCAGAGCUCCGGCGCGCUCAGCCCAGCNNNNNNNNNNNNNNNNNNNNNNNNNNNNNNNNNNNNNNNNNNNNNNNNNNNNNNNNNNNNNNNNNNNNNNNNNNNNNNNNNNNNNNNNNNNNNNNNNNNNCCGGCCGGCGCCCCCGCGGUCCCCACCCACACCCCGGGCCCCGCGCCCAGCCCGAGCCCCGCGCUCACCCACAGCACCGCGCAGAGCGACAGCACGUCCUACAUCAGCGCCGUGGGGAACACGAACGCUAACGGGACAGUCCUGCCGCCGCAGCAGAUGGGCUCGGGGCCCUGCGGCUCUUGCGGGCGACGGUGCGGCUGUGGGACCAACGGCAGCCUUCAGCUGAACAGCUACUACUAUCCUAACCCGAUGCCCGGGCCCAUGUACCGGGUCCCGUCCUUCUUCACUCUGCCGUCCCUCUGCAACGGCAGCUACCUCAACCAAGCACAUCAGAGCAAUGGAAACCAACUUCCUUUCUUUCUGCCUCAGACUCCGUAUGCAAACGGACUGGUGCACGACCCCGUCCUGGGGAGCCAAGCCAGCUACGGCAUGCAGCAGAUGGCGGGCUUCGGGAGGUUCUACCCCGUGUACCCAGCGCCCGGCGUGGUUGCCAGUGCGAGCGGUUCGGGGCCCAAGAAGAACGGGAACGUCUCCUGUUACAACUGCGGUGUGAGUGGACACUACGCACAGGAGUGCAAGCAGUCGUCCAUGGAGGCCAGCCCACAAGGUAGCAUCUAG
Molecule: long non-coding RNA, 3306 nt
Organism: Suricata suricatta (meerkat)
Lineage: Eukaryota; Metazoa; Chordata; Mammalia; Carnivora; Herpestidae
Source: Ensembl